RNAcentral lists this ribosomal RNA (777 nucleotides) under uncultured Neocallimastigales. RNAcentral's name for it is "partial large subunit ribosomal RNA". It matches the Rfam family "Eukaryotic large subunit ribosomal RNA", at positions 24 to 616 of the family's 3401-position model. The record is from RNAcentral. Lineage: Eukaryota; Fungi; Neocallimastigomycota; Neocallimastigomycetes; Neocallimastigales.
UACGACUACAUAUCAGGCAUAUCAAUAAGCGGAGGAAAAGAAACUAACUAAGGAUUCCCUUCAGUAACGGCGAGUGAAGCGGGAAGAGCUCAAAUUUGAAAUCUUCAAGGUUUUACCUUGACGAAUUGUAGUUUAAAGAAGUGUUUUCUGUUAGAGAGUUAGGUAAAAGUUCUUUGGAAUAGGACAUCAUAGAGGGUGAGAAUCCCGUAUUUGACCAUUAUUUUCAGCUGUGUGAUACACUUUCAAAGAGUCGGAUUGUUUGGGAAUGCAGUCCAAAAUGGGUGGUAAAUUUCAUCUAAAGCUAAAUAUUGGCGAGAGACCGAUAGCGAACAAGUACCGUGAGGGAAAGAUGAAAAGAACUUUGAAAAGAGAGUUAAACAGUACGUGAAAUUGUCAAAAGGGAAGCGUUUGACACCAGUGUUGUUUUCUCGAAAAUCAAUUAAAAAGAGUUGGAUUUUGUGUUGUAUUGACCUUAACAGCUUGCUUCACUCUUUUCCAGCUUUUUUUAAUGCACUUUUCGUUUAACAAGUCAACAUCAGUUUCUUUUGUUGUAAAAGGGUCAUUGGAAGGUGGCUUUCUCUUCGGAGAAAGUGUUUAUAGCCUUUGAUCUCUGCAAUCGGAGAGACUGAGGUCUGCAGCGUAGAUCCUUCGGGGUUAGAUACAUUUGUGCUAAGCUACAGCUUUUCAUAGACAACUUGUUGACUAUGUUUAGUCUUGUAACUUACCCGCUUAUGCUAUUUUACCUACGCUUAGGAUGUUGAGCGCAUGUCUCUCUCU